Molecule: ribosomal RNA, 783 nt
Filed under: Triticum aestivum (bread wheat)
Lineage: Eukaryota; Viridiplantae; Streptophyta; Magnoliopsida; Poales; Poaceae
Description: partial small subunit ribosomal RNA
Source: RNAcentral
AUGCUUACUCUUCACACCGUUCGGACAUCCCUUCCCUGGCCGCGCAGAUCCUCCCCGCGCCGACAUGCACUGCAUCUAAGCAGGAGGAAAUUUUCCAUCUGUAAGAGCAGCUCCGAAGAUGCUGGAUCCGACGCUCCCCUGCCGCACGGCGGUGACCAACGCCAGCAGGAGGUGCUUGCAAAAAUCGCCAUGCUUCAGACGCAGAAGGUCCGCAUCACAAACUUCCUGGAUGAGCGGUCUGCUUACCUGACCAAGUUCACCAAGGAUGCCGACACCGAGUUUGAUAUGAUUGGGCAGAACGCCAUGAAAGAGCUCGAUCAAAUUGGGGACCAGAUAAUGGAGCGACUCGACAGCAAGAUGCAGUCCUACGAGGAGACAGCUGAAAUGCAAAGGCAGGAGAUAGAAAUGAACGAGAGGGUGUUAGAAGACUUCGAAGAUUGGAUUGAAGAGGAGAAAAACGAAGGCAUGUUCUUCAAAAGCCUUGGGAAGGUCAAAAAACCUCAAAACAAUGAGGAAAUCAAGGUGAUGGCUAGGAUCGAAGCACAGAAGGUCACAGAGAUAACAAAGGAGAAUGCAGGGUCAAAAGCUCGGAUGAAUAUUUACCUUGCACUGAUGGCGAUACUCAGUCUUACAAUCGCAAAUGCCGUCUUUGCAACGCCAGAGGUGGAAUGGAGGAAGGUUGCUGCUCUGGGUUUAAUUUUCAUUGGCCUGGUUGCUCAGGUCAUCUAUGAGCAAGAUAUAUCCCCACCGGCAGCUGACAAGAAUGAAAAAAGAGAAGAAUGA